Molecule: non-coding RNA, 774 nt
Organism: Camellia sinensis
Lineage: Eukaryota; Viridiplantae; Streptophyta; Magnoliopsida; Ericales; Theaceae
Source: RefSeq, a predicted model, not a curated record
AAAUCAAAGAAUCUACGCGAGAAAUGUGAAGGAAGUCGUAUGAGAUAUAGAAUAAGAGCUUAAUUAGUGCAUAGUUGCCUUCUGAAUCAAGGGCAGUCUCUCAUUUUUACUUGCCAAGGGUAUUUAAGUAAUCAUAGCGAUAAAGGACAAAGAUGAGAAAAGGAUAGCUUGGGGAACAAGCUCUCUUCAAAAGAAAGGUGAACAUUUUAAACAAAGAAUCUCUUCAAAGACAAAUAGUUAUAUGACUACUUUAAGUUCUAAUCCCUCCAUCCCUUCUUCUCCUGGUGGAAAGUCGCUUUGGAAAGAUAACAAGAUUUCUAAUUCUGACUCAGAAGGCCAUGGCUAUCCCGGAAAAGCUUUUGCAGUACAAAUAUCAUCGACUUUCACUGAAUCCUAUGAUGACAAAGCAGGCGAGGGACUCUUGGAUUACGUUACAGGGCGGCCAGAACAGCUGGAAGAAUAAUGAAAUCCUAGUAACAAGUGGAGAUUUGGAGUUUUUUACUACUAAGACUUGCUAUAUGGCUAAACUCGGACCCAUUUAGAGUGACUAAUCUCCAAGUACAAAACCAAUGUACAUCUUAUUCUAUUCAACCAUGUACGUGUAAUCUGUAUGUCUGGAUUCUCAGCUUCUUUAUAAUCUGUAGAAGGAACCGAGAAAAUAAUAAUGAACAAUUACUUGGUCAUGACAGCUGGGUUGUCUUGCUACUUCUUCCUUGUACAUGGUAUGGACAGGUUUUGGCAUAUUAUGUAUAAACGAAAAUUAAGGUUGUUUUA